UAGCGGAAGCCGGGAAUGGAAAGCCCGGUGCAAGCAGGGUACCAGUGCGGAAGGCAAAUCCGCCGCACAAUGGGAAGCUGUGAAGCGGAGCGAAAUAAAGUAGCGAAGUCCGUGAGCCAUGCGUCAAGAAAAGCCGCUAUUGUUUGUACCGUACCUGUACCGUAAACCGACACAGGUGGAUGAGGAGAGAAUCCUAAGGCCGGCGGAAGAAGCAUUGUCAAGGAACUCGGCAAAAUGGCCCCGUAACUUAGGGAUAAGGGGUGCCUGUGGAAACAGGCCGCAGAGAAUAGGCUCAAGCAACUGUUUAGCAAAAACACAGGUCUAUGCGAAACUGAAAGGUGAGGUAUAUGGGCUGACGCCUGCCCGGUGCUGGAAGGUUAAGAGGAGAGGUCAGAGCAAUCGAAGCCUUGAAUUUAAGCCCCAGUAAACGGCGGCCGUAACCAUAACGGUCCUAAGGUAGCGAAAUUCCUUGUCGGGUAAGUUCCGACCCGCACGAAAGGCGUAAUGAUUUUAGCGCUGUCUCGACAAUGCAUCCGGUGAAAUUGAAGUACCAGUGAAGAUGCUGGUUACCCGCGCCAGGACGGAAAGACCCCAUGGAGCUUUACUCCAGUUUGGUACUGGGAUCCGGUAUUGCAUGUACAGGAUAGGUGGGAGGCUGAGAAUGAGCAGCGCCAGCUGCACAGGAGCCGCUGUUGGGAUACCACCCUUGCAGUAUUGGGUUUCUAACCAGCCGCCGUGAACCGGCGGUGGGACAAUGCCAGACGGGGAGUUUGACUGGGGCGGUCGCCUCCGAAAGGGUAUCGGAGGCGCCCAAAGGUUCCCUCAGGAUGGACGGAAACCAUCCAAAGAGUGCAAAGGCAGAAGGGAGCUUGACUGUGACACCGACGGGUGGAACAGGUACGAAAGUAGGGCUUAGUGAUCCGGUGGUAUUAAGUGGGAAUGCCAUCGCUCAACGGAUAAAAGCUACCCUGGGAUAACAGGCUUAUCACUCCCAAGAGUUCACAUCGACGGAGUGGUUUGGCACCUCGAUGUCGGCUCAUCGCAUCCUGGGGCUGUAGUAGGUCCCAAGGGUUGGGCUGUUCGCCCAUUAAAGCGGUACGCGAGCUGGGUUCAGAACGUCGUGAGACAGUUCGGUCCCUAUCCGGCGUGGGCGUAGGAUAUCUGAAGGGAGCUGUCCUUAGUACGAGUGGACCGGGAUGGACGGACCGCUGGUGUACCGGUUGAGCAGCCAGGCUCAUGGCCGGGUAGCCAAGUCCGGAAGGGAUAAACGCUGAAGGCAUCUAAGCGUGAAGCCCCCCCUAAGAUGAGAUAUCCCAUUCGAAAGAAGUAAGACCCCUUGAAGACGACGAGGUAGAUAGGCUGGAGAUGGAAGUGCAGUAAUGUACGGAGUUGACCAGUACUAAUCGGUCGAGGGCUUGACCGA
This 1423-nucleotide ribosomal RNA is filed under the name metagenome. Its description in RNAcentral is "bacterial LSU rRNA". It matches the Rfam family "Bacterial large subunit ribosomal RNA", at positions 1483 to 2925 of the family's 2925-position model. The record is from RNAcentral.